This 468-nucleotide ribosomal RNA is filed under the name uncultured bacterium. RNAcentral describes it as "partial 16S ribosomal RNA". It matches the Rfam family "Bacterial small subunit ribosomal RNA", at positions 28 to 507 of the family's 1533-position model. The record is from RNAcentral.
GACGAACGCUGGCGGCGUGCUUAACACAUGCAAGUCGAACGGAAAGGCCCUGCUUUUGUGGGGUGCUCGAGUGGCGAACGGGUGAGUAACACGUGAGUAACCUGCCCUUGACUUUGGGAUAACUUCAGGAAACUGGGGCUAAUACCGGAUAGGAGCUCCUGCUGCAUGGUGGGGGUUGGAAAGUUUCGGCGGUUGGGGAUGGACUCGCGGCUUAUCAGCUUGUUGGUGGGGUAGUGGCUUACCAAGGCUUUGACGGGUAGCCGGCCUGAGAGGGUGACCGGCCACAUUGGGACUGCGAUACGGCCCAGACUCCUACGGGAGGCAGCAGUGGGGAAGAUUGCACAAUGGGCGGAAGCCUGAUGCAGCAACGCCGCGUGCGGGAUGACGGCCUUCGGGUUGUAAACCGCUUUCGCCUGUGACGAAGCGUGAGUGACGGUAAUGGGUAAAGAAGCACCGGCUAACUACGUG